CUGAUAAAACAGUUUGCAUUAAAGAAGCUGGCCAAAUCCCACCAAAACCGAGAUGGCAAGGAUGUGACCUCUGUUUGUCCUCACUGCUCAUUAUAGGCCAAUUAUAAUACAUUAGCAUGCUAAAAGACACUCCCAUCAGCACCAUAACAGUUUACAAAUGCCGUGGCAACAUCAGGAAGUUACCCUAUAUGGUCUAAAAAGGGGAGGAACCUUCAGUUCUGGGAAUUGUCCACCGCUUUCCCGGAAAGUUCAUAAAUAAUACCCUGCUCUUAUCAUGGCAUAAAUCAGAGGAAAGUAAACAGACCAAGAUGAUCUUUGUAAAAUUCCUGUAAUUGUUAAGUAUGAUUGAACAACAGCAUAAUACUCUCCUAACUGAUUCCCACAGGUCCUCUCACCGCUCUCGGACUCCAUCCUGGCUGAGAAGACGGUGAUCGUCCUGGAUGACUGAGUCACCAUCGCGGAGCUGGGAGUGCAGCUCGUAGCUGGCAUGUCUCUCUCCCUGCAGCCUCACCCAGCAGACAAAAGGGCCAUCGUCUCCACAGCCGCUGCCCUGGAUGUUCUUCAGUCCCCACAACAGGAGUACAGGAUACAUUCUCACUCUCAGGAGGGAGAGGAAGCAGCUGGGGAAAGCAAGUCUAAAGUCAACGGUGGAUUCCAGAGAAAUGGGGACUUGGCCUGUUGUCAAGCAAGUGAUGGUCACGAGUUACGGAGCAGCUGGCAUCUCUAUCUGACCACACACAAAGCCUCCUGGAAACCAUGUGGCUAUAUUGGGGUUGAUAAUUCAGGUAGCAGAGUUGGCUUCCAAGCCAGGGGCAGGAAGGACAAACAAACCACAGACUCCACAACAGGAGGAGCUUUCUCUGAAGUGCUACUGCCCAAGGAUCAGAGACCUUUCGUGGUGGCCACUGUUGUAUAA
This 916-nucleotide long non-coding RNA is filed under the name Macaca mulatta (Rhesus monkey). Its description in RNAcentral is "lncRNA (ENSMMUG00000058477.1)". Lineage: Eukaryota; Metazoa; Chordata; Mammalia; Primates; Cercopithecidae. The record is from RNAcentral.